UUUUUAUAUUAUAAAUAUAAUUUGCUCCCUGCUAAUAAGUAAAGAGCCGCGUAAGUGCUAAGGUAGCAUAAUCAUUAGAUUAUUAAUUGUAAUCUUGUAUGAAAAAUUAAACCUUAAAAUUAAUAAUUUUAAUACAAAUAAAAUUAGUUUUUAAGUGAAAAACCUUAAAUAAAAUUUUUAGACGAGAAGACCCUAAAACUUUAAAUAAUUUUUAUUGGGACAAUAAACAAUUUUAAUAAUGUUUUAUUAGCUUUUAAGCAAAGACCCUAAAAAGUUUAAUAAAAGUACUUUAGGGAUAACAGCAUAA
Molecule: ribosomal RNA, 307 nt
Filed under: Macrocyclops albidus
Lineage: Eukaryota; Metazoa; Arthropoda; Copepoda; Cyclopoida; Cyclopidae
Description: partial 16S ribosomal RNA
Source: RNAcentral